RNAcentral lists this ribosomal RNA (498 nucleotides) under uncultured bacterium. Its description in RNAcentral is "partial 16S ribosomal RNA". It matches the Rfam family "Bacterial small subunit ribosomal RNA", at positions 28 to 523 of the family's 1533-position model. The record is from RNAcentral.
GAUGAACGCUAGCGGCAGGCCUAAUACAUGCAAGUCGAACGAGAUUAAGAGGCUUGCUUCUUAUGAAAGUGGCGCACGGGUGCGUAACGCGUAUGCAACCUACCUUAAUCAGGGGGAUGGCCCGAAGAAAUUCAGAUUAAGACCGCAUAAAAACACAGGAUAGCAUUAUCCAAUGUUCAAAUAUUUAUAGGAUUAAGAUGGGCAUGCGUGUCAUUAGCUAGUUGGCGGGGUAACGGCCCACCAAGGCGACGAUGACUAGGGGAUCUGAGAGGAUAACCCCCCACACUGGUACUGAGACACGGACCAUACUCCUAAGGGAGGCAGUAGUAAGGGAUAUUGGUAAAUGGAGUGAACUCUGAACCAGCCAUGCCGCGUGCAGGAAGACAGCCCUCUGGGUCGUAAACGGCUUUUAUUCGGGAAUAAACCUUUCUACGUGUAGGAAGCUGAAUGUACCGAAGGAAUAAGGAUCGGCUAACUCCGUGCCAGCCGCCGCCGUAA